AUUGAACGCUGGCGGCAGGCCUAACACAUGCAAGUCGAGCGAGCGGCGGACGGGUGAGGAAUGGUUGGGAAACUGACUGAUGGAGGGGGAUAACUACUGGAAAAGGUAGCAAAUACCGCAUACCAUCAGAUGUGCCCAGAUAGGAUUAGAUGGUAGGGGGGGUAAUGGCUCACCUAGGCGACGGACCCUAGCUGGGCUGCGAGGAUGACCAGCCACACUGGAACUGAGCCACGGGCCAGACGCCUACGGUAGGCAGCAGUGGGGAAUAUUGCACAAGGGGCGCAAGCCUGAUGCAGCCAUGCCGCGUGUGUGAAGAAGGCCUUCGGGUUGUAAAGCACUUUCAGCGGGGAGGCGUUACCCGCAGAAGAAGCACCGGCUAACUCCGUGCCAGCAGCCGCGGUAAUAC
Molecule: ribosomal RNA, 406 nt
Filed under: uncultured bacterium
Lineage: Bacteria
Description: partial 16S ribosomal RNA
Rfam family: Bacterial small subunit ribosomal RNA
Source: RNAcentral